RNAcentral lists this ribosomal RNA (451 nucleotides) under Escherichia coli. Its description in RNAcentral is "bacterial SSU rRNA". It matches the Rfam family "Bacterial small subunit ribosomal RNA", at positions 30 to 475 of the family's 1533-position model. The record is from RNAcentral. Lineage: Bacteria; Pseudomonadati; Pseudomonadota; Gammaproteobacteria; Enterobacterales; Enterobacteriaceae.
AUUGAACGCUGGCGGCAGGCCUAACACAUGCAAGUCGAACGGUAACAGAAAGCAGCUUGCUGCUUUGCUGACGAGUGGCGGACGGGUGAGUAAUGUCUGGGAAACUGCCCGAUGGAGGGGGAUAACUACUGGAAACGGUAGCUAAUACCGCAUAACGUCGCAAGACCAAAGAGGGGGACCUUCGGGCCUCUUGCCAUCGGAUGUGCCCAGAUGGGAUUAGCUAGUAGGUGGGGUAACGGCUCACCUAGGCGACGAUCCCUAGCUGGUCUGAGAGGAUGACCAGCCACACUGGAACUGAGACACGGUCCAGACUCCUACGGGAGGCAGCAGUGGGGAAUAUUGCACAAUGGGCGCAAGCCUGAUGCAGCCAUGCCGCGUGUAUGAAGAAGGCCUUCGGGUUGUAAAGUACUUUCAGCGGGGAGGAAGGGAGUAAAGUUAAUACCUUUGCUCA